RNAcentral lists this long non-coding RNA (923 nucleotides) under Olea europaea (common olive). Its description in RNAcentral is "long non-coding RNA (OEUR_LNC013132)". The record is from RNAcentral. Lineage: Eukaryota; Viridiplantae; Streptophyta; Magnoliopsida; Lamiales; Oleaceae.
UCACUAUAGGUCGAAAAUUUUGGUCUAAAAAUUCGAGGGAAAAAAAGGUUAAAGAAUUUUAACACCAAUCACAAGACAGUUGAAUAUCACUGUUAUUUGAUGGGAUAAUGAAAACCAAGUUCGCGUUAGAGUUAUUCCAUAAAUUAUAAUCCUGUUCAUGAUAGAACCAGUCUACAAAUUUAAAGCCAUUUCACAAAAGAAUCAUUCAAUAAAUUUAAACCAAGUUCGUGAUAGGAUCAUCUAUAUAUUUAAUCCCAGCUCAUGAUAAGAACAUUUUAUAUAAUUAAAACCCUGUUCGUGAUAGGAUCACUACAGAAAUGUAAAACCAGAUCUUGAUAGAAUCACUCAAUAAAUUUAAACCCAGUUCGUGAUAGAAUCAUUCUACAAAUUUAAAUCAGUUCGUGAUAGGCUCAGUUUAUUAAUUUAACCCAGAUCUUUGUAGGAUCAUUUUAUAAAUUAAAACCGAGUUCGGGAUAAGAUCAUUCUACAAUAUAAAACCAAAUCAGUGACAGGAUCAGUCUAUAAAUUUAAACCCAGUAACUCAUAAGAUCAUUCUAUGAAUUUAAACCCAGCUCGUAAUAGAAUCACUCCAUAAAUUUAAACGCAAGUAGUAAUUAUUUCAACCUCCGCCUCCCCCACCCCCAAAAAAAAAUAAAUAAAUAAGGGGAAAAAAAUCAAACCUGCCAAGAAUAGAGGAAAGGGUCUUGAUAUGAUAGGCUUCAGGCUCUUGUCCUUCGGGCCUCUCAGUGUAAACUAUGUGAACUUUAGCUUCAGAUGAUGAUGAAUCGGCAGCCAUUGCUAUUCUUGAGGUCAAGAACAAAAGGAAAAUUGUUGAGAGAAAAAAGUGGAUUUUCUGCAUAACUUUCUUCGUAUUGGGAUUUGAAGGGACUUCGGUUUGAUUAAUGGGAUAUGCAAAAUUGUGC